UACAGAGGUCCCAAGCGUUGUUCGGAUUCACUGGGCGUAAAGGGUGCGUAGGUGGCUUGGUAAGUUCGAUGUGAAAUCUCCGGGCUUAACCCGGAAAUGGCAUUGAAUACUAUUGAGUUGGAGGUUUGGAGGGGGGACUGGAAUUCUCGGUGUAGCAGUGAAAUGCGUAGAUAUCGAGAGGAACACCAGUGGCGAAGGCGAGUCCCUGGACAACACCUGACACUGAGGCACGAAAGCUAGGGGAGCAAACAGG
Molecule: ribosomal RNA, 253 nt
Filed under: uncultured bacterium
Lineage: Bacteria
Description: partial 16S ribosomal RNA
Rfam family: Bacterial small subunit ribosomal RNA
Source: RNAcentral